AUUGAACGCUGGCGGCAGGCCUAACACAUGCAAGUCGAGCGGAUGAAGGGAGCUUGCUCCUGGAUUCAGCGGCGGACGGGUGAGUAAUGCCUAGGAAUCUGCCUGGUAGUGGGGGAUAACGUCCGGAAAUGGGCGCUAAUACCGCAUACGUCCUGAGGGAGAACGUGGGGGAUCUUCGGACCUCACGCUAUCAGAUGAGCCUAGGUCGGAUUAGCUAGUUGGUGGGGUAAAGGCCUACCAAGGCGACGAUCCGUAACUGGUCUGAGAGGAUGAUCAGUCACACUGGAACUGAGACACGGUCCAGACUCCUACGGGAGGCAGCAGUGGGGAAUAUUGGACAAUGGGCGAAAGCCUGAUCCAGCCAUGCCGCGUGUGUGAAGAAGGUCUUCGGAUUGUAAAGCACUUUAAGUUGGGAGGAAGGGCAGUAAGUUAAUACCUAGCUGUUUUGACGUUACCAACAGAAUAAGCACCGGCUAACUUCGUG
RNAcentral lists this ribosomal RNA (484 nucleotides) under uncultured bacterium. RNAcentral describes it as "partial 16S ribosomal RNA". It matches the Rfam family "Bacterial small subunit ribosomal RNA", at positions 30 to 507 of the family's 1533-position model. The record is from RNAcentral.